CACGUAGGGGGCGAGCGUUGUCCGGAUUUAUUGGACGUAAAGAGCUCGUAGGCGGCGCGGUAAGUCGGGUGUGAAAUCUCGGAGCUUAACUCCGAAACUGCAUUCGAUACUGCCGUGCUUGAGGACUGGAGAGGAGACUGGAAUUUACGGUGUAGCGGUGAAAUGCGUAGAUAUCGUAAGGAAGACCAGUGGCGAAGGCGGGUCUCUGGACAGUUCCUGACGCUGAGGCACGAAGGUCAGGGGAGCAAACGGG
Molecule: ribosomal RNA, 253 nt
Filed under: uncultured bacterium
Lineage: Bacteria
Description: partial 16S ribosomal RNA
Rfam family: Bacterial small subunit ribosomal RNA
Source: RNAcentral